Molecule: ribosomal RNA, 434 nt
Filed under: uncultured bacterium
Lineage: Bacteria
Description: partial 16S ribosomal RNA
Rfam family: Bacterial small subunit ribosomal RNA
Source: RNAcentral
AGUGAACGCUGGCGGCAGGCUUAACACAUGCAAGUCGAGGGACCCCUUCGGGGUUAGUGGCGAUCGGGGAUGGAACCCGGGGGAACGGGGCUUAAGGCUUGUAAUAACUGCGGUUAACCUGUGGUUAAACCGAAGGAGCCCGGAGGGGGAAAGAUUGUUCGCCUUUAGAGCGGCCCGCGUUUGAUGAGCGAGUUGGUGGAGGUAGUGGCUCACCAAGGCGAUGAUCAGUAGCGGGUCUGAGAGGAGGGUCAGCGACAUUGGGACUGAGACACGGACCAGACUCCUACGGGAGGCAGCAGUGGGGAAUCUUGCGCAGUGGGCUAAAGCCUGACGCAGCCAUGCUGCGUGAAUUAUGCAGGUCUUAGGCUUGUAAAAUGCUUUCACCGGGGACGAUAAUGACGGUACCCGAUGAAGAAGCCCCGGCUAACUUCGUG